This 2171-nucleotide long non-coding RNA is filed under the name Daphnia pulex (common water flea). RNAcentral describes it as "uncharacterized LOC124193065". The record is from RNAcentral. Lineage: Eukaryota; Metazoa; Arthropoda; Branchiopoda; Diplostraca; Daphniidae.
AUUAUUACGCAGUCCCGACUUACAACCCAGAAGCUGCUCUUUCGUACUACGUUGAACAGAAAUACUACACUGAUGCUCCAGUCUACUACACCACGACCUACGCUACACCUAGCUACAACACCGCAGCCGCCAAGUACUACAUGCCCGCAAGGCCUUAAGAGGAGAUAAAAGGCGAAAUAAUUAGUCGAGUGAUUAUUUCCGACUUGACGACAGCUGCCGUGCACUAUUUGUCCCCAACUGCAUUCUUCAUUGUAUGAAAUGUGUUUAGUAAACUGUGACGUCGUGCUGCUGUUGAUUGUUGUCCUGAAAUACUACACCACCGAGGCUUCAGAAUACUACACUGCAACUUAUGCUGCCCAGAGCUGCUUAACCAAAGAUUCUUAGUACUGCAUCGUGAUUCCAUUCGUUUUAAGCCAUAACCAUUUAGUAUUAAUUUGAUAUUGUUUGUUUUAGACCCAUCCACGGCAACGUCAACCUGCAGAAGGAAGAGGCCAGUUUGCAUUUCCUUCACUUUCGAAGGUCACGGAGAUCAUUACGUAAAACUGUCAAUGCGGUGGUGUAGAGGUUGGGUGAGAACGGGAAGUGUUUGCUUUGCUUUAUUAUCAAGCAAGUAUAAUAGCCGCAGAGCUUAAGAGAGGGGUUAGGGUGAGAAAAAGUCGUAUAAAUGGCAAGAGAAAAAACCACGGAACUCAGUCGAGUGAGCAUCUCCGACACGGCAACAACUGCAGCGCAAUAUGUGUCACCAACUACCUUCUUCAUCGCAUUGCCAGUUCGCAAUCUUGGUUAACUAUGGCGCUGUGUUGCUGUUUGGUGUUGAAUCGUUAAUGGUUGGGUCGAUCUCGGGUGUACAGAUGUCUCCUGGACAUGGUGGAUACCAAGUAAUAGCAGCGAAGGAAUAAUAAACCACACCGCCGCCUUACUACAAAACGAAGUUAACAUUCGCAACAUCUACUUACUACGCCGAGGCCCCCUAAGUGCUACACCGCUAAGACUCGAGAGUUACGCGACAAACGCGACCCGAGUUACAUCACCACAGCGCCUGAGUACUACACCACUGAGUAUACUGUCCCAGCCUACUACACCGAGGUCCCCAAGUACUACACGACUACGAAUGUUGCCCAAAUAUUACACUAAGGCUCCAGCUUAUUUCAAUACCAAAGCGGUCAAGUACUACACCGAACCGCACAAGUACUACUCUACCCUGUACACAACCACAACUGAGGCGACCAAGUACUACGUAGCCCAGACUUACAUCACAGUAGCUGCUCCUUCGUACUGCGUUGAACUGAAAUAAUUCACCGAGGCUUCAGUUUACAACAGCAUAACCCACGCUACACCUAGAUACUAUUACGAAGACUCCAACUACUGUACCCAAGAGGUCACACCACUUGCCUUGCCCCAGUUUCCUACACUGAGGAACACAAGUAUUACUCUGCUCCAAGCUACUACCAAACUGAGACUCCUGUUUAAUACACCAAGUCACCGAGUAUUACAGCCAAAUGUAAGGUGUCGUGCUGCUGUUGGUUGUUGUAUCCUUGGUGGUUGGGUCAAUCACUAGUGUACCGAUGUCUCUUGGUGGUGGAUACCGAACCACAACGCCGCCGUCUUACUGCACGACAAAAACGUAUGCAACAACCAGAGUACUACACCACCGAGGCACCGGAGUACUACACUGUUCCCAGCUUAUUACGCCACCAAAGCGGUCAAAUGCUACACCGAAGCGCCCAAGUACUACUCUGCCCCGAAUUACUACAUAGCGGCUGCUCCUUCGUACUAUCCGAAAUACUACACUGAGGUUCCAGUUUACUACACUGCAACCCACGCUGCCCUCAGCUACCAAACCGAGGCUCUGCUCCCAUACCGAUGCUCCCAAGUACUACAAUACCAAAGCACCCGAGUAUUAUAUCACUACUUAGGCAGUUCCGACCUAAUGCACCGAAGCUGCGAAGUAUUCCACUGCUCCGAGUUACUACAGGCACCCCUGGAUAUUACAUCACAACCUACGGUUCUUCAGUUCAGUACAGGGAGGCUCUUAAAUACUAGAGUCGAAAUUUCUGAUUUAUUUAUUAGUGUACAGAGUUGUCGGUCAUUAACUAACAGUUACUAGUCACUGGGAAGUGUUGUUGAUCUUAAAUGAGAAAAUAAAUGUUUUAAUGGUAACCAUCUUUUAA